RNAcentral lists this ribosomal RNA (730 nucleotides) under Pseudomonas putida. RNAcentral describes it as "bacterial SSU rRNA". It matches the Rfam family "Bacterial small subunit ribosomal RNA", at positions 56 to 773 of the family's 1533-position model. The record is from RNAcentral. Lineage: Bacteria; Pseudomonadati; Pseudomonadota; Gammaproteobacteria; Pseudomonadales; Pseudomonadaceae.
UGCAGUCGAGCGGAGGACAGGGAGCUUGCUCCUUGAUUCAGCGGCGGACGGGUGAGUAAUGCCUAGGAAUCUGCCUGUUAGUGGGGGACAACGUCUCGAAAGGAACGCUAAUACCGCAUACGUCCUACGGGAGAAAGCAGGGGAUCUUCGGACCUUGCGCUAUUAGAUGAGCCUAAGUCGGAUUAGCUAGUUGGUGAGGUAAUGGCUUACCUAGGCGACGAUCCGUAACUGGUCUGAGAGGAUGAUCCGCCACACUGGAACUGAGACACGGCCCAGACUCCUACGGGAGGCAGCAGUGGGGAAUAUUGGACAAUGGGGGAAACCCUGAUCCAGCCAUGCCGCGUGUGUGAAGAAGGCCUUCUGAUUGUAAAGCACUUUAAGUUGGGAGGAAGGUACUUUAGUUAAUACCUUGAUAUUUUGAACUUUCCUACCAAAUUAACCCCCGGUUACUUUGGGGCCACCACCCGGGGAAUUCCGAAGGGGGCAACGGUUAUCCGAAUUACUGGGCGGAAAGCGCGGCGAAGGGGGUCUAUUAGUUGGAAGGGAAAGUCCCGGACUCUACCUGGGAACUGGCUCUCAAUAUGGCGGACUAAAAUAAGGUGAGAGGAGGUGAAAAUUCCUGUGGAGCGGUGGAAUGGCUAGAUAUAUCGAGAGAACUACAGAUGCCAAAGCCAGCACCUCGGACUGAUAAUGGGACCUUAAGUGUACGAAAGCCAUGGGGAAACCAAAC